RNAcentral lists this ribosomal RNA (253 nucleotides) under uncultured bacterium. RNAcentral's name for it is "partial 16S ribosomal RNA". It matches the Rfam family "Bacterial small subunit ribosomal RNA", at positions 524 to 776 of the family's 1533-position model. The record is from RNAcentral.
UACGGAGGGAGCUAGCGUUGUUCGGAAUUACUGGGCGUAAAGGGCUCGUAGGCGGCCAACUAAGUCAGACGUGAAAUCCCUCGGCUUAACCGGGGAACGGCCUCUGAUACUGGCUGGCUGGAGUUCGGGAGAGGGAUGCGGAAUUCCAGGUGUAGCGGUGAAAUGCGUAGAUAUCUGGAGGAACACCGGUGGCGAAGGCGGCAUCCUGGACCGACACUGACGCUGAGGCACGAAAGCGUGGGGAGCAAACAGG